GCCGGGCGUGGUGGAGCAGCCUGUAGUCCCAGCUACUCAGGAGGCUCAGGUGGGAGGAUCGCUUGAGCCCAGGAGUUCUGGGCUGUAGUGCGCUAUGCCGACCAGGUGUCGACACUAAGUUCGGCAUCAAUAUGGUGACUUCCCGGGAGUGGGGUACCACCAGGUUGUCUAAGGAGGGGUGAACCGGCCCAUGUCGGAAAGGGAGCAGGUCAAAACUCCCAUGCUGAUCAGUAGUGGGAUUGCACCUGUGAAUAGCCACUGCACUCCAGCCUGGGCAACAUAGCAACACCCUGUCUCUC
RNAcentral lists this signal recognition particle RNA (299 nucleotides) under Callithrix jacchus (white-tufted-ear marmoset). Its description in RNAcentral is "Metazoan signal recognition particle RNA (ENSCJAG00000071855.1)". It matches the Rfam family "Metazoan signal recognition particle RNA". Rfam says of the family: The signal recognition particle (SRP) is a universally conserved ribonucleoprotein. It is involved in the co-translational targeting of proteins to membranes. The record is from Rfam by way of RNAcentral. Lineage: Eukaryota; Metazoa; Chordata; Mammalia; Primates; Cebidae.